GUGGAGGGAGGGAGAGGGCUUUGAGUCUGGGAGAAGUGGAGAAACCAAACCACAGCAAGGUGCUGCCAGAGGCAUGGAAUAACAGAGCUGCAAAUAGAUCAUCUUUAUGUAUUAAUCUCAGAUUUUGUGAGUGAGAAUGUUAGAUACCAGAUGAUAUCCAGAUGUAAGCAGAUGAUAUUGUUCUGGCAUGAACUGUACGCCUUGAUUGAACAGUGGAAAGACGUGUUUUUGUAACAGCAAAUAAAUUGCAUACAGCAGGCUGUAUGCAAUUCUGUUCUACCUUGUAAUGUUAUUUUCACUUAAAUUGAGCAUCAUUAUGAAAACAUGCAUCCUUAUAAACAUAAUGCUUAUCUUUGUGCUCUCGGUUCCCAAAUUCUUGUUCAAUUUGGGACAAACUAAAGAUCCAAAGUCAUCUUGUUUCCCUGACCUGUUAGCUGCUGCUGUGCAAAGCUCACCUUUACUGAAGGUCUUCAUUUUCUUUAGACAAAGCAGUUUGCAUUUGGUAUGUGUAACAUGAUAGAGUAUCAUAGGAACCAGAUAACAUGUUCCAGAGUAUGAGUGCAGCUUUUGUUUUGAAAGGUUCAAAAGGGCUUUGCAUAAAGGUGAUCUGCAAAGGGAAAAACUUCUUUUAUGGAAGAAGGAUAAGUUGAACUGUUGUAAGGUCAAAUAAUAUAGCUAAGCAUUUAGAUAGAUAUAUAAAGAAACAUUGUAAGAGCACUUUGCAACCAAGGAUAACCUCUGGCUUAUGCAGCUUGCACCAUGACCAUGCAGAACUUGUUUAAUGGUUGGAGUACAAGAGAAGCUCGUUGUGUAGACAGAGCUGUAUGGAAAUGUUCUAAGCAAACAUGGGGAGAGGGAGCUUUUGCCUUGCACAGGAGCACACUCAAAGCAGUAGCUUAGAGUAAAAUUUACAGUGUUGUGAAUAGCUCAGUAGCAUUAUGCAAUAGUACUGGGAAAAGCAUAAGCAAAUCCUGAGUUUCCCGGUGCUGAAGUAGCAGAAUGCACUUCAUUGGGCAUAAACAUACGAGGAGGAUUAAUUCAAAACAAGAUUGUCUAAGUGGUGCUUAUCACUGUAUAUCCAAAAUACUGUUAUAGGAAGUUACCAAACUGAAGGCAGUCUCGCCUCAGUAAUCAGUGCUCCACUGGACUGAAAUCCAUAAUCUGUAAUCAUAUCGGUGCUGCAGUUCUUCUCAUGCCUUAUCAUUGAUACCUGUGCUGCUGUGGAGUACAUUUUAGGCAGUUUAAGUGGCUUCUGACAGUUAAUGAUUGGCUUAUGCUCUGAAAGCAAUAUAGCUUGAUUAUUUACAUCUCAUACAAAAUAAUGAGGGCUGUAAUAAAAUGUUUCUGCUAGUCUCUUAAUUAUCUUGAUGUAAUCCAUUCCAGCUCCAGCCAUGCUCAUUUAUGAGGAUCCAUCGCGCAGAAGUCUGUCUAUGGAACUUUCCUAUAAAGCCUGUGGCAUUCCAGUUUGACUGUGGAAGCAAGUUUUCUUUUACAGAAACUGAUACUGGUGUGACGAAGGAGGACAGGUAGCUCUAGAGACUUCAGAGGUUGCAGAAUACAGCAGCUUUUCCCAGAAGUGUAUCAGAGUCUUGCUUCCAGUAAUGUCUGAACACUGUGGUUACGGAGAAAGGAUGAUCCGUUCCUGGGUCCUCUUGCCUGCAGUGCUGUGUGCCACCAAAGCAGUAGAUGAACUCUCGCUAUCGACUGGAAGCAAGUUCCAUUUGGCUGUAUGAGAACUGCCAAACAGAGCGACCUGAUGAUGGCUGUAAGCUGGGGAAGCUGUUCCUCAGGAGUGGUGGUGCCUUAUUGCCCCGUUCUUAGUCUCAGCAAGGAGUUAGGUAUCUCUUCUUACCGGGCUGCUCAUUAGCAGGUCUGUGUGCCUUACAGAAGGAAUUGGUAUCACACUGUCAUUUUGCUGCAGAGGGAGAAACUGAGGCAUAAUGGAGCAGAAAAAAACAUUGUGGUUGGUGCGUAGCAGUAAUAGUAGUGCCAGGCUGGAGAUUAAGCCAGCUCUGCUGAGAUUUUAUCCAAUACUUUCCAGUGGGUCAUAAAUGCAUAAAGUAAUCAGGCAAGGACUUUGUCAGAGCACAUCUGCUCCAGUGUUUCUGGUAAAAGUACAUCCGUUAUCCCAAUUAAAUCAUAUGGUCCGGCACUGAUGAUGUGUGAAGGUAAAGCCAUCAGUGGCCUGGCUGUGUCUUUCAGACAGACCAAGAAGAAUGUUGGGCAAGCUAAAUCCAUUUAAUUUCUGGUGCUGCCAAUGCUGGAUAUGGGUGUACGUGGAAGUGGAGCCUCAGGGAUUUCACUGGGGGCUCCAUGUGGACAAAAUGAUCUCUUUCACUCAAGGAAGCUUAUAAUAUCAAAACCACUGUAAGAAAAUGGUCUCUGUACAAAGCUUACCGAGAUGAAGGUUUUCCAAUGGCAUGUCAGUUAAAAUUCCCAAGAAGUGGUUUACCUGAGAUUAAUAAUGCAUUUGGAGGAGGUCUGUGAGAUAGCCUGCUGCUCCUGUCAAGUCUCCUGCCAGUCUCAGAAGGGAGGAGGUAAGUUGUAUUUUCCUCUUGCUGUUCUGCUUGCAUAAAAGUGACCUGGGAAAAUAAGAGUAAAAUAGUUCCUUCAAGCAGAUGAGGCAAGGAGAAAUUGGUUGACUGGGUCUAACUGCAAAAAGGAAAUGCAAACCCCUCAAUUCACCCUCAUGCUAAGGUGUUGUGGUUUUUUUUUGAAGAAUAAAAGGAGGUAGCAGAAUUCAUGCAAGGCUUUAUACGUUUGUUUUCUAUAACAGUGCUUUGUUUCCUUUUGGUCCUUCAAGUCCUUUUUCAGUACUGGAAAUAAGCAACCACAUAGAGCAGGAUUUUUCCCUGCUGCUGUGCAUGUGUAUGAACAGCUUCCAAAGGAGGCUUUUGUGGGGCAUCAGAUGGGUUUACCUUGGGCUCAAUGAGUCCUUCAGUUAGGUUUUAAUAUAUUAUUUUCCCUGUCAUUUCUGCUUAGAUAGUGACAUUGAAUGCUCUGAUGAUAUCAACCAACUAUGUGUUCCUUCACUGUCAAGUAUUUGGGAUGGAAAUUUAGCAGGCAGUUAGAUUAAAAUAAAAAUAUCCUGCUGGCAAGGAAAUAAAUUGAAUUAAGUCGGUGCUGCUCUGAAUGUUGGUAACUGUGGAUGAGUUUUCAUGGUUCAUUCUGAAGAGCUACCGAGGCACCCAACAGCUCAUAUAUUAAGGCUAAAUUACUGUUGUUAAAUUUAUUUCCCAAUUCUCUUUGGUAUUUAAAAAAUGCAUUAUCCCCACAUUGCAAAACUUGAAGAAGCUCUUUAUCCAUACCUCGGAACACAAGAAAUGGAAAAGCAGCAUCUAAAGCAAGAGAAGAUUGUCACAUGAACAACUGCACGUAAACCGGCGGUGAAUAAAAGAUGUUCCGUGCCAUCAGGGAGAGGGAAAUCUCCUCUUAGAGCUUCACAAGGGAAGUGUAGGGACCAAAGCCCUCGGGCUUUCUGUGGGGCUGAAUCAGAUCAUGAAAGAAGCUAUAAGUAGGUGAGCAGUCCCAAGGGGUGGCACUAAGCCACGUAGGAAGUCUCUUCUGUGCGGUAGUCUUUGAGGAACAGUCUCAGAGAUUGUUAAAUAUUGAAGGAAAUAUGAACUUCAAAAAGUGGGUUUUAAUUUAAAUAUCAUAAUAGUUGUCGUGUGUAAGAAGUAGAAAGCAUUGAGUUCAACUGUGCCGAAGGGAGGGCGAUGCCUGGCUACAACUCAUACUGAGCUCUGCCCCUUUCUGGGAGCUCGUAGGGCAGCCCAGAUCUUUCUUAGGGUAUGCCUUCUAUUGGAACACGAGUUCUUAGGGUGUGACUUUUCAAGCUGAGAUGUCUGCACAUGAAAGAAUUUGAGCUUUCAAAGAACUCCGGGCCUUUGCUUACCUCCUCUUGAAUUGUAGGGAUCUGAACUACUCGGAAAAGACGAAUUUACGCCGCUUUUCCAAAGGUGGGAUCUGGUUCCUUUGUUUGUACUGAAAGAUUGAUCAGAGCAGGUAAACAGACAUUUGGUGCGUAGCUGAUUAUGAGCUAUGGAAAAAUGGACAUCUUUUUUAGUUGUUCCUAAAAGAUCAGGCUUAGGAUUCAAAGCCGUAACGCAUUUAUUGUGGUAACGCAAACUGAAGUCAUGUGAAUCGAGAACCAUAAGGGUUCCAUUAGCACACAUGGAAAGUCGAGUUGGGUCUGUAAUAGCACUGACAGUAAGUCCCAUUCAGGAGCAUUACUUCUUAAAAAUUAAACAAACCUCUCAAGUGGCUUAACGUGUAGCUGACAGUGCCAGCACGCUUCAAUUUCCAUUCAACCUGAAGUUGCCACACUCUCCAUUCUAAAUGGAAAUAGUGUUCUGCUGAUGUCACUGGCAAGCCUCCUUUUCUCCCAGCAAAAAUGUUUGUGUUACAGUGACUUCUUGAUCCCUGAGAAUACGUUUGUCUUGGUGAUCUGCUUCAGAUGCAAAUUGCUAUACCAGUCAGCUUGUGGGAAGAUAAAACCUUUCUUUAUUUUUAGUUCUGUCCAUUUAAAUCCAACGUGCAGUGCUAGAUGUUGGAAUCAGCGUGGAUUCUUUCUGCUCGGAAGCCUCUGGGAAGAGAUGUCUCACCCCAGUGCUCAAAGGCUGCUUCUAAUUCUGUUGUUUUUUUAAUGUUUUCUUUAAGUGAUACCUAUGGAACGUGUUAGCCACCAAUUUGGGAAAUCUCCCUUGUAUCUCAGUCUUCUGUUUCUCUUGUUUCCUCCCCUGGCCUCAAAGCAGCAGCACAGCUGUGCCAGGAUACCCAGGACUGCUUUUCUGCGCCUCGUCCUUUCAGCCCCAUUGGAUGCUCAGCAGGAGCCGCUCAGUUCACACACGCAGUGCGUUCUGCCUUCCAAGAGCUUUCCAUCAGGCGAGAGGCUCUCUUCUUUUUGCCUGUUUCAAAUGUACCGUUCUACGUGUCCUACAAGAAGUCUUCACGCACCUCUCCAGGUAUUCAGGGAGAAGAAGUCCAUUUUUCUGUUGCCAUCAGACUCAGUGCUUCGUGCAGUGGUCCAUGAUGGGACCACUCAGGAAAAUACUCUUAGCUGUGGUUUCCAGCACAAGAAAUGUUGCAAAUCUGAGCUUAAAAAAAUCAAGUUUGGCUGCUGCACAACACUUUCUCAGUUGAUUCCUUAUUAUUUAACACUUCUCUGAAGUUCAAGUCUUUUUUUUUUUUUUUUUUUGUCUCCCCCCUUCAAUACAGCCUUCAUCCAAAAGACACUGCCAAAUGCUUUACAAGUAGUACAGAGAAAGAGAAAUUGUUUCUGGCACCUAUUGCAGUAGUCAGCAUUGAGCAUCCCGCUUACCCAGCUCACAAAGCACAGAGCCUUAUUUUGUUAGGAUGUACAAAUGCUUCUGCUAUCAAACAAGCAAAAGGACAGCCAGCCCACCUAACCUGCUACCAGCUAGCCACCAAGUUUAGGAGAAUGAGCAAUGCCUCCACUGGGGACUUCCCUGGCAGAUCCACGUCUGAACAGCCAGGGCUGGCUUCCAAGAACAUUAAAUUCCAGCUGCUUUUCCAUCCAAGGCAAGAUAGGUUAUGCAUAUUUGGUGCCUGGCUUAACGCUGCAAGGGACAUAAUUUUCAGUGGUAUAAUGGACCGCUUGAGCCUCUCUUGUCAACUGGGAGUUUGAGUAUGCAGCGCGUUUGGAAAUGCAGCCCAUCCUUACCCAGCAACUAGCAAGGGAGAAAUCCAGACCUGCCAGUCGCUAUUUCAGCCUGUGACUUCUGCUCGCCUUUGUCCCAUCCGAGCGCGGUAAGGCAGAGCUUGUGUGCUCUUCUGGAGUUGGCUCCGCGUCUGCAGCUGCACGUUGAAAGGUACCGCAGUGUUUUCAGAAACCCAAAAGGUAGCCAGUCUCCAGCUGGUAAAAUUGUCAUCGUUCAUCAACUGAUUGAACUGUGGAAAUUUACCCAAGUAGAGGAUCAGGUCCAGUGUACACAGCUGGGAACCGAGCUGAGCUCAGUAGCUAUCUGUGCUCAGUGCUAAGCACCGGCCAACUGGGUUGCGCACGACUUUCUGCUAGGUAGCAGUGUGUCGAUCAAUGUCCUCUUGUUCGCUUGGAUCCAUGUUGUCUCCCAUUGCUCUGUCCCUUCUCUGUUCUCCUUUUCCUUCUAACUAAGCAACGUCUUACGGGCAGCGAGAGGGCGAGCCACAAUAGAUGAAAACAGAUCUGUUUUUGUGAUGUUUCUGGGGAAAACGUUCCUGCCCUUACACUUGAACUUCUCUAAGAGUGGUUAUAUUUCAUUACGCAUCUUAUCCUUGUUUGUGAAACAAGCAUGAGCUGUGCUUGCUAUGAGUUCAGUAGAGAAAAGAAAUGGAUAUUUGGGGAAGAUUGUUCCUCACUUGACAGCAUUAUUGUAAGCAAGGAAAUUUAAAGGAGGUUUUGCUUAGGCCCUCUAUUUUUCUCUGACUUUGUGUUCGUAUUUUUUUCCUGAAGUUUGUCUCAAGGUCUGCAUGAAGACCCAAACCUCUAAAAUGCUUUAAAGUCGAUCUCUCUCUGCCCGCGUGUAUUCAGCUAGCGUGGUAAAAUGUUUUGUUUCUCUUUUUUCUUUCCAGAGUCUAUGAGAUCAUUCAAGUACGGAGACUUGGCAGCCUCCAUGUACGUACAAAGACGGCUGUUUGAAUUUCAGACUAAGUGUCGUUCUGGCUAAGGAUGAAUUAUUUGGUGUGUUACAUGAGGAUUUGCUGCUUUAUCUGGCCUGAAUAAGAGCUCCACCAGUGCAGACCUCCCUCACGAAAGCCACGGUGAUGUCACGUCCAGCAGCACAGGAGGGGAUCAGAGCGUGCUCCUACCCAUUCAGCACAGCCCCGAGAUUACUUUUAACCAAGGUCACUUCUGCAGUUCACUUGACAACAGCCUGGGCAGCGGCACACUACUGGCACAGCCUGCGGACUGCUAUAGGGAUGGGAGGACAAACAGUGACAAUUGUCUCCCGGAUUUACUGCGUCGAAGCUGUGCCGCGGCCACCUUCUGAUCAGAAGUGGGUAGAUAAAUCUGCUCCGUGUUCUGCAGUGACUGCCUGCUGCCCUGAAGGAAGCGUGUCAUGUCUGCAAGGAAGCGUUUCAACCUGCAGCCGUGGAGUACGAACAGCAUCAAUCACUCCUUUCCAACAAAGGUUGGGUUGUGCUGAGCCCUAAUCUUUUAAAUAAGACCUACUGUAACAUGCACAGAAUGUUUCCCAUGUUGGAUUCUACCUUACAAGCACUGAUUACGCCCACUGAUGCUUCAUGAGACAACCAAGCCAGAUUUGUGCCUCGAUUUGAAAAUACUCUGACACAAUAAAAGAAGACUUCUUAAUCUUUCA
Molecule: long non-coding RNA, 7319 nt
Filed under: Gallus gallus (chicken)
Lineage: Eukaryota; Metazoa; Chordata; Aves; Galliformes; Phasianidae
Description: lncRNA (ENSGALG00010014760.1)
Source: RNAcentral